This 1035-nucleotide long non-coding RNA is filed under the name Vulpes vulpes (red fox). Its description in RNAcentral is "lncRNA (ENSVVUG00000023303.1)". Lineage: Eukaryota; Metazoa; Chordata; Mammalia; Carnivora; Canidae. The record is from RNAcentral.
AUGAAUGUUGGCUUCUUUUCUGCUUUACACAGAAAAGAAAAGCCCCUAUGUAUUGGUCUCACAAAAAGCUUGAAUCUGGGCACAGAGUCCCCUCUCCCCGGCCUCCCUCCACCAACAGUCCCGGUUGGGGCAGGUCCACAGAAACACGUGACCUGGAUGGCGCGGCCGCGAGGUCACCCACGACUGUCAAACUCGGAUGACUCACACCGCCUUCUGGCCCUUGUAAACGCAGUCCGUGGGCGCUUUCUCCCGCGCCUCCCAGCAAGCAAACCGACCCAUCGCCCCCAGCAAGUCGCUCGCUUCACCGCGCACCGCGUCCCCGCCCCCCGCCAUCUGUCGCACAGGCCACGUCCCCCGCCAUCUGCUCACUGUCCUCCGCGCCCAGAACCCGCUCACGUUCCAGGCUGCCUCCCACUCUUCUCCAGCCCGCCCCAGCCCUGCACCUCCUCUCGCAUCUCCCCCGCAGCCGCCCCCAUCCGCACACCCCAGUCCCGGUCGUCCUUCCCCACGCCCCGCCCGAAGCCCGCCUUUCCCCAGGCGGGGGGCCCUCCCCGACCCCCCCAGGCCGGCCCCGCAGCCAGGCGGACGUUGGGAGGCGGCGGAACAGGGGCGUCGUCUCCGUUUCCUUCCUCCUCACAUCGGCCCCUCCCGCCGCGGCGGCGGGCGCCGGUACCUGAGCCUCCCGGGGAGGUCCGGGCCGCUCCGCCGGGCCGGCAGCGCUGCGAGGGCGGGGGAAGGAGUGGGAAGCGCAGGAAGAAGGCGGGGAGGGGGACACAGUGGGCGCGGACCCGGCGUCUGCCGCUCCGCCGCCGCAGCGCCCCCGCUCAUCGAGCGGAUCGGCGCUCCGCGGCCUGGCGCCAGGCGGAGGGGGCGGGCCCAGGCUGCGGAGAUGGUCGAGGGAGUCGAGCGAGCCGGGCGAGCCGAGCUCGGAGGGCGGGAGCGGAGAGGGUCUGGAGGCGGCGGAGGGGGCUCGGAGAAGUCACUCAGGAGUCACUCAGGGUGGCGCGCCGGGGCCCAGCGCCGGGUUGGGGCUGA